UUGGUUAAGUUAGAAAGGGCGCACGGUGGAUGCCUUGGCACUAGGAGCCGAAGAAGGACGGGACUAACACCGAUAUGCUUUGGGGAGCUGUACGUAAGCGUUGAUCCAGAGAUUUCCGAAUGGGGGAACCCACUAUCUUUAGUCGGAUAGUAUCCUUACGUGAAUACAUAGCGUGAGGAAGGCAGACCCAGGGAACUGAAACAUCUAAGUACCUGGAGGAAGAGAAAGAAAAAUCGAUUUCCUGAGUAGCGGCGAGCGAAACGGAAAGAGCCCAAACCAAGAAGCUUGCUUCUUGGGGUUGUAGGACACUCUAUACGGAGUUACAAAAGAAAGUUAUAAAUGAAGCGGUCUGGAAAGGCCCGCCAAAGACGGUAACAGCCCGGUAGUUGAAAUGGCUUUCCCUCCAGAGUGGAUCCUGAGUACGGCGGAACACGUGAAAUUCCGUCGGAAUCCGGGAGGACCAUCUCCCAAGGCUAAAUACUCCCUAGUGACCGAUAGUGAACCAGUACCGUGAGGGAAAGGUGAAAAGCACCCCGGAAGGGGAGUGAAACAGUUCCUGAAACCGUGUGCCUACAAGUAGUUAGAGCCCGUUAAUGGGUGAUAGCGUGCCUUUUGUAGAAUGAACCGGCGAGUUACGAUUUGUUGCAAGGUUAAGCGGAAAAAGCGGAGCCGUAGCGAAAGCGAGUCUGAAUAGGGCGCAUAAGUAACAGGUCGUAGACCCGAAACCAGGUGAUCUACCCAUGUCCAGGAUGAAGGUAAGGUAAUACUUACUGGAGGUCCGAACCCACGCACGUUGAAAAGUGCGGGGAUGAGGUGUGGGUAGCGGAGAAAUUCCAAUCGAACUUGGAGAUAGCUGGUUCUCUCCGAAAUAGCUUUAGGGCUAGCCUCGAGGUAAAGAGUCAUGGAGGUAGAGCACUGUUUGGACUAGGGGCCCUUCUCGGGUUACCGAAUUCAGAUAAACUCCGAAUGCCAUGUACUUAUACUCGGGAGUCAGACUGCGAGUGAUAAGAUCCGUAGUCGAAAGGGAAACAGCCCAGACCACCAGUUAAGGUCCCCAAAUAUAUG
RNAcentral lists this ribosomal RNA (1065 nucleotides) under Listeria monocytogenes. Its description in RNAcentral is "bacterial LSU rRNA". It matches the Rfam family "Bacterial large subunit ribosomal RNA", at positions 1 to 1058 of the family's 2925-position model. Lineage: Bacteria; Bacillati; Bacillota; Bacilli; Caryophanales; Listeriaceae. RNAcentral also lists the same sequence under 2 other names. The record is from RNAcentral.